GGGGCCUUAGCUCAGCCGGGAGAGCGCCUGCUUUGCACGCAGGAGGUCAUCGGUUCGAUCCCGAUAGGCUCCA
RNAcentral lists this transfer RNA (73 nucleotides) under Geobacillus stearothermophilus 10. Its description in RNAcentral is "tRNA-Ala". It matches the Rfam family "tRNA". From Rfam's summary of the family: Transfer RNA (tRNA) molecules are approximately 80 nucleotides in length. Their secondary structure includes four short double-helical elements and three loops (D, anti-codon, and T loops). RNAcentral also lists the same sequence under 2 other names. Lineage: Bacteria; Bacillati; Bacillota; Bacilli; Caryophanales; Anoxybacillaceae. The record is from RNAcentral.